Molecule: ribosomal RNA, 533 nt
Filed under: uncultured Clavulina
Lineage: Eukaryota; Fungi; Basidiomycota; Agaricomycetes; Cantharellales; Hydnaceae
Description: eukaryotic LSU rRNA
Rfam family: 5.8S ribosomal RNA (bases 6-159)
Source: RNAcentral
AAUACAACUUUUAACAACGGAUCUCUUGGCUCUCGCAUCGAUGAAGAACGCAGCGAAAUGCGAUAAGUAAUGUGAAUUGCAGAAUUCAGUGAAUCAUCGAAUCUUUGAACGCACCUUGCGCUCCCUGGUAUUCCGGGGAGCACGCCUGUUCGAGUGUCAUGAAACUCUCAAACAAAGUAGAUUCGUUUCUACCUCUGUUUGGAUUUGGACUCUGCUGCGUCAAUGCGGCUGGUCUUAAAUAUAUUAGCUGAUCCUAGCGAAGGUUUGGUUCUACUCAGCAUGAUAAUUAUCUGAUGUUGAGGACAGUCUUAGGACUGGCCAGGCUCUCUAUGGAUUGCUUCCAAUCGUCUUUGGACAAUCAUUCAAUAUCUGACCUCGAAUCAGGUGGGACUACCCUGCUGAACUUAAGCAUAUCAAUAAGCGGAGGAAAAGAAACUAACAAGGAUUCCCCUAGUAACGGCGAGUGAAGCGGGAUGAGCUCAAAUUUAAAAUCUGGUAGUCUUUGGCUGCCCGAGUUGUAAUCUAGAGAAGCG